RNAcentral lists this ribosomal RNA (466 nucleotides) under uncultured bacterium. Its description in RNAcentral is "bacterial SSU rRNA". It matches the Rfam family "Bacterial small subunit ribosomal RNA", at positions 917 to 1382 of the family's 1533-position model. The record is from RNAcentral.
GGGCCCGCACAAGCGGUGGAGCAUGUGGUUUAAUUCGAUGCAACGCGAAGAACCUUACCUGGGUUUGAAAUAGACAAGACAAGUGCCAGAAAUGGCCUUCUCGCAAGAGCUUGUUUACAGGUGCUGCAUGGCUGUCGUCAGCUCGUGUCGUGAGAUGUUGGGUUAAGUCCCGCAACGAGCGCAACCCUUGCCUUUAGUUGCCAGCAUUUAGUUGGGCACUCUAGAGGGACUGCCGACGUUAAGUCGGAGGAAGGUGGGGAUGACGUCAAGUCCUCAUGGCCCUUAUAUCCAGGGCUACACACGUGCUACAAUGGCGGUCACAAAGGGCAAUAGCCAAGUCGCGAGAUGGAGCUAAUCCCAUAAAAGCCGUCUAAGUUCGGAUUGCAGUCUGCAACUCGACUGCAUGAAGCUGGAAUCGCUAGUAAUCGUGGAUCAGCAUGCCACGGUGAAUACGUUCCCGGGCCUU